AAAGGGAGCAGCUGCGAUGGAGACUGAAGCCAGAUCUUGAGAUGGAUUGCUGUCUUCACUCAGAAAGUUGGUGUUGUAGCAGUUAUGAGGAGUUUAUUCCCCAAAUAUAUUAAAGCAACCAGGAUAGCACAUCCCUGGAAACAGACGGAUACUUCUCUACACAGAGCAAUAAUACUGAACAGACAUGGCAUUCUCUGAUUAUUUCAUGAGGGUGACCGUAGCAGCGCACUCAAACCUUUAGUGAUGUUGAUCAUGUUUUAUGCAGAGAGACUUACCAAACUCAGUUCACUUGUUAUAUUGCUAGAUUUAGAUCUUGUGGAAAAAGACAUGAGAAGCUUUUGAAUAGACAACAGAUUAACAGAAAGUGGUAAGUGCUGAAUGCGCUUACUAACAAAUAGCCUUGUUGAGUGGUUAAUUGAGAUAAUACAGUAAAGACUAUUUCACAACUGAAUUAUUUCUCAUGUUAGUGAUGUGUUGAAUGCAAAUGAAACAUAUACAUACAGUAAGUGUAUCCAUAUGGUUGUAGGUUAUAUGAUUCUUUACCAGUUCUUUAUUCUGCUUUAUUGUUAAUGUUGUAUUAGAUUUUCUUUCACAGACCCUAUACAAUAUAUAUGGUGAUUUAUAGUCAGGUCUAAGACUUAAUUAUCAAAACAUAUAGAUUUAUUGACAGAUAGACACUGAACAGGAUAUUUAUAGAUCUGAUUUUUAAACUUGAUGACAUUUAACCCAAAGCUGCCUAUGUAGU
Long non-coding RNA from Polyodon spathula (Mississippi paddlefish), 745 nucleotides. RefSeq lists it as uncharacterized. The record is from RefSeq and is a predicted model, not a curated record. The transcript has 4 exons. NCBI's taxonomy places the organism in Eukaryota, Metazoa, Chordata, Actinopteri, Acipenseriformes, Polyodontidae.